ACGGGCUGUUAAUAUUGUGUGUGUAGGGUCUUAGUUGGUGCAGUAUAUAAAUUUCCUAAAUUUUCCCUCUUAUUCCCGCCCCGUUGAUUCAAUUUUGUUUUCCCUCCUCCUUUCUCUCCAUUAUUUCCCUUCAUGAAAAGGGGAAAGAAAUAGAAGAAAAUGGUUGGAGUGAAUAAUUUUGCGAAGACAAUUUGUUCAAUUUGCUAUGAAGAUCAAAACCCUAUUAUCGAAGAUCUCCAAUCCGUUACUAUUUGCGGUCACGUUUUUCACGAACUAUGUCUUCAGCAAUGGUUUGAAUACUGCGCAAAAAAUGUGAAAAAGAAGAAUUGUCCAGUUUGCAAACAGGCUUGUUCAGAAGAAAAUGCAACUAGGCUUUAUUUCCAAUCUAUUGGCGAUACAAAUGAUACAAGUCUCACCCAGAAACCUCGCGAUUAUGAAGAGGAUCAUCGGGAAUUGAGAAAUGAGGUCAAAAGGUUGGAAGGGAAAGUUUUACGACUGACUUCCACUUUGGAAAAACAACUGAAAGAUCUCAAAGAAGUCAAUGCAGAGCUGUUCACAUGCAAGGAGGAUUUGAAAAUGGAAGUGACUCUAAAGGAUGAAGCUGUGAAACAAGAGGCAGCCAUGCAGCAGUUGCUACAUCUUAAAUCCAAGGAGCUAGAUCGAUCAACUUUGGAGUGCAUAAGGCUACAAGAUAGAAAUAUGGCUCUAGCUAAGGAGCUUGCAACACUCAAGUUAGUCUGCGAUUUUAGCUUGGAGGAAGAAGAGGUCUUGAAACUUGCUUCAUUAGGAAAUGAUGUCAAUAGCAAAGAGACAAUUGAUGUCCUGAAAAAAUCAUUGGUCAUCCGUAACAAAAGUUACAAAGAACUAAUGACCAAGUGCAACAGGCAAGAGGCUCGUUCUCUCAGGAAACUUCAGAAAGCUAAAGAGAAGAAAAAUAAGUUGAAGGUUAGGGUCCAAGAACUUGAGAUGGCACUUGAAGGAAAAGAUAAUGAAAUUUUGAGAAUGUCGAAAGCCUCCAAGAAAAACUACCAGGGAAGUAAAGAACCAAAAGUUGACAGAGAUUCAUAUGAGAAUCAGAAUAAGGCACCUGCUGAGACAGAAGAAGAUUUAUGCAUGGUAAUUGGAUCAUGUGAUGAUUUAUCUAGACCAAGGAGAAAAAGAAAGUAUAAGUCUAAGGAUAGGAUUAUACUAAACACGGCAGAAGAUAUUAUAGCUAGCAGUCUUCACAAAAAUAAUCACAACAAAGACUCUUCCAUGAGAAACAAAGAUGGAGGCACUUCAGAGACUUCCACUUAUCUGCAUGAAGUAGCAAACCAAAACUUGCAUCAAUCAAUUGGCCCUAAGAAGGCUGUCCAUGAUGGAAGUCUAGUGCACGGAUCAGGAAAUAAAGAUGGAACGUCAGGCUCAAGGAAUUGUAGUAAGAAAAGUACAGAAAACAUGCCCCCUGUGAUUAUUCUUGAUGAUGAUGAUACUGACCUUCCACCUCUAGAUGACAUUACACAGCACCAGCCCUCAUUUCACACCAGGAAAGAGACUUCUUCACCCGUUGUACUUGCCCAACCAGGAGACAGCUGCUUUUCUGGUGGAUUGUUAGGUCCUGAUGGGACUAACUGGCUCUUGGGAAAAUGGUGUAAGAGAAGGUAAAGGACAAGGGAUCUGGAUCACUGUCUUGAGGACUGCAAGGAUCAGGUGCGAGUGCCGGUGAUUUGAUUGCUCAUGACAAUAGUGAGAGUUUGCCAUCAUUCAAGAGAUAAAAGUACGACACCAAAUCAAGUAGUUCCCAGUCUCAAAGAUGCUUGCGAAUAUAUAGCUUCGUCAGAAGGGCCAGUUUACCUCCUGUAAAAUAUCCAUCAAAGAUGUAGGGAAUCCAUUCCUUGUACAGUGUUUAGGCGUUUCAUUUUAGCAAUCUAGUUAUACUGCCAUUUGAUUGAUUAGUUUUUGCUCGAUCAAUACAUAUUGAAAGUGCAUU
RNA transcript from Lycium barbarum (goji berry), 1969 nucleotides. RefSeq lists it as uncharacterized. NCBI's taxonomy places the organism in Eukaryota, Viridiplantae, Streptophyta, Magnoliopsida, Solanales, Solanaceae. The transcript has 9 exons. The record is from RefSeq and is a predicted model, not a curated record.